RNAcentral lists this unclassified non-coding RNA (391 nucleotides) under soil metagenome. RNAcentral's name for it is "partial contains 5.8S ribosomal RNA, internal transcribed spacer 2, and large subunit ribosomal RNA". The stretch from base 1 to 122 matches the Rfam family "5.8S ribosomal RNA", at positions 35 to 154 of the family's 154-position model. The record is from RNAcentral.
GAUGAAGAACGUAGCGAAAUGCGAUACUCGGUGUGAAUUGCAGAAUCCCGUGAACCAUCGAGUCUUUGAACGCAAGUUGCGCCCGAAGCCAUUAGGCCGAGGGCACGCCUGCCUGGGCGUCACACGUCGUUGCCCCCCCAUCUACUCCUUCGGGAUUGCGGGGGGCGGAUGAUGGCCUCCCGUGCGCCUCGUCGCGCGGUUGGCCUAAAUGCCAAGUCCUCGGCGACGCACGCCACGACAAUCGGUGGUUGCGAAACCUCGGUUGCCCGUCGUGUGCGGUCGUCGCGCAUCGAGGGCUCGAAAAAAUUGCCGGGCUUCGGCUCGACUUUCAACGCGACCCCAGGUCAGGCGGGGUUACCCGCUGAAUUUAAGCAUAUCAAUAAGCGGAGGA